GGGGAUGUGGCUCAGUGGUAGAGUGCUCACCUAGCAUGUGCGAGGGCCUGAGGGCCUGGGUUCGAUCCUCAGCAUCGCAU
Molecule: transfer RNA, 80 nt
Filed under: Marmota monax (woodchuck)
Lineage: Eukaryota; Metazoa; Chordata; Mammalia; Rodentia; Sciuridae
Rfam family: tRNA
About the family: Transfer RNA (tRNA) molecules are approximately 80 nucleotides in length. Their secondary structure includes four short double-helical elements and three loops (D, anti-codon, and T loops).
Source: Rfam by way of RNAcentral